Molecule: ribosomal RNA, 591 nt
Filed under: Alternaria brassicae
Lineage: Eukaryota; Fungi; Ascomycota; Dothideomycetes; Pleosporales; Pleosporaceae
Description: eukaryotic LSU rRNA
Rfam family: 5.8S ribosomal RNA (bases 209-362)
Source: RNAcentral
CAGCGUUUAUCUUCCGUAGGGGUAACCUGCGGAGGGAUCAUUACACAAAUAUGAAGGCGGGCUGGAACCUCUCGGGGUUACAGCCUUGCUGAAUUAUUCACCCUUGUCUUUUGCGUACUUCUUGUUUCCUUGGUGGGUUCGCCCACCACUAGGACAAACAUAAACCUUUUGUAAUUGCAAUCAGCGUCAGUAACAAAUUAAUAAUUACAACUUUCAACAACGGAUCUCUUGGUUCUGGCAUCGAUGAAGAACGCAGCGAAAUGCGAUAAGUAGUGUGAAUUGCAGAAUUCAGUGAAUCAUCGAAUCUUUGAACGCACAUUGCGCCCUUUGGUAUUCCAAAGGGCAUGCCUGUUCGAGCGUCAUUUGUACCCUCAAGCUUUGCUUGGUGUUGGGCGUCUUGUCUCUAGCUUUGCUGGAGACUCGCCUUAAAGUAAUUGGCAGCCGGCCUACUGGUUUCGGAGCGCAGCACAAGUCGCACUCUCUAUCAGCAAAGGUCUAGCAUCCAUUAAGCCUUUUUUUCAACUUUUGACCUCGGAUCAGGUAGGGAUACCCGCUGAACUUAAGCAUAUCAAUAAGCGGGAGGAAUCUGUU